AUCUAUAUAAUUUUACUUUCAAAUCCACUUUCAAUUAACUUUUCAUAUUAAUAUUCAUUUAAAUAAAUUUAUUGUAAUUCAUUUCUACUUAAAUAUAAGCUACACCUUGAUCUGAAAUAAGUUCAUAAUUAAAACUUAAGAAAAUUAUUUAUUCUUUUAAAAUAUUCUGAUAACGACGGUAUAUAAACUGAAAAACAAACUUAAGUAAGGUCCAACGCGGAUUAUCAAUUACAGAACAAAUUCCUCUGAAUAGACUAAAAUACCGCCAAAUUUUUUAAGUUUCAAGACCAUAACUAUUAC
RNAcentral lists this ribosomal RNA (300 nucleotides) under Diasemopsis aethiopica. RNAcentral describes it as "partial 12S ribosomal RNA". Lineage: Eukaryota; Metazoa; Arthropoda; Insecta; Diptera; Diopsidae. The record is from RNAcentral.